GGACGCGCGUGGAGGACGCGCGCCAUCCCCCCCGACGUGGUAUUCGGCGCGCGUCGUCGCCGGUCCUCUAGCCACGCCGCUCCUCCUCCCACGGCACUGUCAUGUCUCGUUAUUGCACACACCUGGUGUCCAUUCCCUCAUUAGGUUGCCUAUAUUAGUUCCUGUGUUUCUGGGUGUCUUUGUGUGGUAUUGUUCUAUGUCUUUAUAUUGUGGAGAGAGGCACGUUCGUUGAGCGUUUUAUCGCCGUGUAUAGCGUGCCUUUGUUGUAUUAUUAUUAUUUUUGAGAAUACAGUUUUGUUUAUCGCCUCCCUGCGUUUGGCUCCAAGUUCUUCGACACACUCCACUACACCCAGCCGUGACAGAACACCUGGAUUUUGGCUGGAUUGUUCCUUAGAGAUCCUCUCGAGCGUUGUCAAAUAGGAUGGGGAGCGUCGGUGAAACGCAAUCUUAAAGUCUACUCACAUGUUCAAUGGGUUUCAAAUCCAGGAUUUGCCUGGGCCCUCAAAGAUCUUCACAGACAAGCUACACCAUAGGGAUGGUAUUAGCCAGGUGAUGAGCUUUACCUCUUUUUCAACAGCCAAUGCCCUUGGCAUUUAUUAAAAGUCAGAGGUUUGCAGAAAUUACAACUUAUAGCUUUCUACUUGACAAGUAGGAUACAUCACUUCAUUUAGCUAGUUGGCUAGAUAGACAAGGAAAUCUGUGUGUAGGUUACUAGAUAGUAUAAUUGUUUCUCUGUCAUCAUCUAUGUAGAUAAUAAUUCAAUAUUCUUGUUUAUUCUAUUUGUAUGAGCGCAUAUCCAUUUUGGAAGGUUUCUCUAAAGUCUACGACCGAGACAAUAAGCUAAGUUGUGUCCGAGCAGACGAUGAGCCCACGUUAGCUAGCAUUAUGUCUGAGCAGACACGCUUUAUUCCAUUUCCUCCUGGAAAAUAGUGUUACAACCUGGUGUUCUCUGCAAAAUGUUAAGAAAAACAAACAUGUAUUGUGGUUGUUUGACUAAACCUUUUGCAUAUUAAGCGAAUCGAAGAAGCAAUUAUAUUACCUUUUAGUUUGAUUUAGCCGUGUGAAAACUGGUCAAAGUAAGCACAUUAUUUUUCCAGCUAACGGUAGCUAGCACGAUUAUGGUUUCAUAUUUGCUAGAUAGCCAUCAACGAAUCUCUGAAAUAUGACAAUGCAUCUUACGCAAUAGAUAGCCCAGAUGGCGUUUUGAUUGGUUUAGCUGUUCACACUGUGUUCCGUAGUUAUGGAAUGGGCUCAUCAACAUUUAGCCCAUUUAAAACAAAAGUUUGUUUUCAUUGUUCCAGCAUCGACGGUUGGAGGUGACACUGCUUCAUACCGUUCUUCAUUUUUGACAGACAAGAAGAGGAGACAGAAAAGAAGUGUGAGUUGGACCAGCAGAAGCAAGAAUUCAACCCCUGACUUCUGGAGCAGUAUGACUGGUGCAUAUCAUUGGACAUGCAUCAGAAAUGUUCACACACAGCAGAACAGUAAUAAGGAUUCUCUUCUGAAUUCAAAUCCACAUGUAAUGAAUAUAUAUGAUUGCAAGUUGUUUACUAUAUUUUUUAACCUCAUAUUGCCCCCGA
Long non-coding RNA from Esox lucius (northern pike), 1580 nucleotides. The record is from Ensembl. Lineage: Eukaryota; Metazoa; Chordata; Actinopteri; Esociformes; Esocidae.